Non-coding RNA from Pelobates cultripes (western spadefoot toad), 268 nucleotides. The record is from the annotation of a GenBank genome assembly. Lineage: Eukaryota; Metazoa; Chordata; Amphibia; Anura; Pelobatidae.
CCCCAUUCGCAAUAAUGUUGUCUGUAAGCGUAUGCAAUACAACCAUGCGAACCGCCAGCCAAGGAAAACUCCAAACUCCCGAACGGUAUCCGUACGGCUCCUUCCCUUCACGAGCCACAAGCUCACAAACUGCCAAUAUCAGCCGAACGCCAAUAUCUUCCAAGCGGCAAAUAAUUCCAAAUUGCAGUCUCUAGUCGCCGGUAAUAAAAUCCCCCCAAUGAGACCAAGCUCCGCAUUGAGGGUAAAACACGAACUGAGUUAACUGUGG